UAGGGAAUCUUCGGCAAUGGACGAAAGUCUGACCGAGCAACGCCGCGUGAGUGAAGAAGGUUUUCGGAUCGUAAAACUCUGUUGUUAGAGAAGAACAAGGACGUUAGUAACUGAACGUCCCCUGACGGUAUCUAACCAGAAAGCCACGGCUAACUACGUGCCAGCAGCCGCGGUAAUACGUAGGUGGCAAGCGUUGUCCGGAUUUAUUGGGCGUAAAGCGAGCGCAGGCGGUUUCUUAAGUCUGAUGUGAAAGCCCCCGGCUCAACCGGGGAGGGUCAUUGGAAACUGGGAGACUUGAGUGCAGAAGAGGAGAAUGGAAUUCCAUGUGUAGCGGUUGAAUGCAUAGAUAUAUGGAGGAACACCAGUGGCGAAGGCGGCUCUCUGGUCUGUAACUGACGCUGAGGCUCGAAAGCGUGGGGAGCAAACAGG
Molecule: ribosomal RNA, 429 nt
Filed under: Gemmatimonadota bacterium
Lineage: Bacteria; Pseudomonadati; Gemmatimonadota
Description: Gemmatimonadetes bacterium partial 16S ribosomal RNA
Rfam family: Bacterial small subunit ribosomal RNA
Source: RNAcentral